AACAGGCGAGUCGACUCCAGAUCGCGCGAGUCGACUCCGAUCCCAACGGAAACUUUGUCAGGAGUUGCAGACUGUGCACAACGGCUCUAUUUUUGUCUCUAACGGCUAGAUUUCUAUUUCCACGACAUCUAAAGCUAUAAAAUCAAGAGGAGAGCUAGGAUAGAGAGAAUGGAAGUGGGAGAAAACAUUUAGGAAAGAGAUCUCAAAGAAAAAUCUCCCAAAAGCACAAAAGGGCCAUUCAAAGCAAAUAGAGAGAAGAAGAGCAUCCGAGUGAAUUCCAAAGCUUUCUCUUCAACUGUGUGCUGCCUCGGUGAUCCUCUACUUCGUGCAAAAUCAGAAGAGGGUCAAGUGAAGAAGAAGCCGAGUUCCUCCAUCUAUAAAUUAGUUUGAGGGCUUCUUCUCUUUACUUUACUUAUUUAUAUUUGCUAUAUCUGCUUAAGUGAGAAGCUUGUAUUUGCUUUUAAACCUUUGUUUUAAUAUCUUGUAACAUGAUUCAAUCAAGGGAUUGAAUCAAGGGGUUAAGGUUUGUUGGUGAGCCAAAGGAAAAACCAACGGUGUAAGGUUGUGGUUGGUGAGCCUUUGGAAAAACCAACUGGGUUGAUUGUGAACCCGGAAAACAAUCGUUGUAAGGUUGUGGUUGGUGAGCCUGUGGG
This 653-nucleotide long non-coding RNA is filed under the name Phoenix dactylifera (date palm). RNAcentral describes it as "long non-coding RNA (PDAC_LNC014626)". The record is from RNAcentral. Lineage: Eukaryota; Viridiplantae; Streptophyta; Magnoliopsida; Arecales; Arecaceae.